AACAACGCAAUGAUGGGGACAAGUAAACAGGAGCGGGAUUUUGCAGAAAGCUGGCGGUCGAUGCAAGCCAGUGAAGACCGCCUUGGCGAAUGGACCCCGGAGUGCCAUGCUGAACCGGACGUUUACGUUCCGAAAUAGGCAGGCCGGACCUCGCUUCCCGUUAUCGGAGCGGUUAAGAUCGGUUGCAGCAGCUUUUCUCGACCGAUGAAUAAGGGUGGCACCACGGCUCACGUCCCUUGC
Molecule: non-coding RNA, 240 nt
Filed under: Saccharibacillus sacchari
Lineage: Bacteria; Bacillati; Bacillota; Bacilli; Caryophanales; Paenibacillaceae
Description: T-box sequence
Rfam family: T-box leader
About the family: Uncharged tRNA acts as the effector for transcription antitermination of genes in the T-box leader family. T-boxes are found upstream of many aminoacyl-tRNA synthetase genes and some amino acid biosynthetic genes usually in Gram-positive bacteria.
Source: RNAcentral